CUUGGAAGUGUUUUCACAAUUUUGGCACUAGUGUGGUUUAAACUCAAAAGCUAAACAGAAUUGGGCCGGGGUAAUACUUGGCCGGGAGACCGUCUGGCAUUCCCAGGUGCUGUAAGGU
Molecule: ribosomal RNA, 118 nt
Filed under: Paramormyrops kingsleyae
Lineage: Eukaryota; Metazoa; Chordata; Actinopteri; Osteoglossiformes; Mormyridae
Source: RNAcentral